Molecule: ribosomal RNA, 794 nt
Filed under: uncultured bacterium
Lineage: Bacteria
Description: bacterial SSU rRNA
Rfam family: Bacterial small subunit ribosomal RNA
Source: RNAcentral
UCGAGGGGCAGCGGGUAGAUGAGCUUGCUCAUUUAUGCCGGCGACCGGCGCACGGGUGAGUAACACGUAUGCAACCUGUCCGUCUCAGGGGGAUAAUCGUCGGAAACGGCGUCUAAUACCCCGUAUGAAGCUGGACGGCAUCGUCUGGUUUUGAAAGAAUAUCGGAGACGGAUGGGCAUGCGGCGCAUUAGCUAGUUGGCGGGGUAACGGCCCACCAAGGCGACGAUGCGUAGGGGUUCUGAGAGGAAGGUCCCCCACACUGGUACUGAGACACGGACCAGACUCCUACGGGAGGCAGCAGUGAGGAAUAUUGGUCAAUGGGCGGGAGCCUGAACCAGCCAAGUCGCGUGAGGGAAGACGGUCCUAUGGAUUGUAAACCUCUUUAGGCGGGGAGCAAUGCCGGGCACGCGUGCCCGGAGGGAGAGUACCCGCAGAAUAAGCAUCGGCUAACUCCGUGCCAGCAGCCGCGGUAAUACGGAGGAUGCGAGCGUUAUCCGGAUUUAUUGGGUUUAAAGGGUGCGUAGGCGGAUUUUUAAGUCAGCGGUAAAAUGUCCGGGCUCAACCCGGGCCGGCCGUUGAAACUGGGGAUCUUGAGUGGGCGAGAAGUAUGCGGAAUGCGUGGUGUAGCGGUGAAAUGCAUAGAUAUCACGCAGAACUCCGAUUGCGAAGGCAGCAUACCGGCGCCCGACUGACGCUGAGGCACGAAAGCGUGGGGAUCGAACAGGAUUAGAUACCCUGGUAGUCCACGCAGUAAACGAUGAAUGCUAGUUGUCCGGUUCUUUGGGACUGGGUGA